This 514-nucleotide ribosomal RNA is filed under the name uncultured bacterium. RNAcentral describes it as "partial 16S ribosomal RNA". It matches the Rfam family "Bacterial small subunit ribosomal RNA", at positions 28 to 523 of the family's 1533-position model. The record is from RNAcentral.
GAUGAACGCUGGCGGCGUGCCUAAUACAUGCAAGUCGAGCGAAUGGAUUAAGAGCUUGCUCUUAUGAAGUUAGCGGCGGACGGGUGAGUAACACGUGGGUAACCUGCCCAUAAGACUGGGAUAACUCCGGGAAACCGGGGCUAAUACCGGAUAACAUUUUGAACCGCAUGGUUCGAAAUUGAAAGGCGGCUUCGCCUGUCACUUAUGGAUGGACCCGCGUCGAAUUAGCUAGUUGGUGAGGUAACGGCUCACCAAGGCAACGAUGCGUAGCCGACCUGAGAGGGUGAUCGGCCACACUGGGACUGAGACACGGCCCAGACUCCUACGGGAGGCAGCAGUAGGGAAUCUUCCGCAAUGGACGAAAGUCUUACGGAGCAACGCCGCGUGAGUGAUGAAGGCUUUCGGGUCGUAAAACUCUGUUGUUAGGGAAGAACAAGUGCUAGUUGAAUAAGCUGACACCUUGACGGUACCUAACCAGAAAGCCACGGCUACUACGUGCCAGCCGCCGCAGUAA